UCUCAGAUGAUACCACGUUGGUUGUUCCUA
Molecule: non-coding RNA, 30 nt
Filed under: Homo sapiens (human)
Lineage: Eukaryota; Metazoa; Chordata; Mammalia; Primates; Hominidae
Source: RNAcentral